Molecule: ribosomal RNA, 402 nt
Filed under: uncultured eukaryote
Lineage: Eukaryota
Description: partial small subunit ribosomal RNA
Rfam family: Eukaryotic small subunit ribosomal RNA
Source: RNAcentral
GCUUGUCUCAAAGAUUAAGCCAUGCAUGUCUAAGUAUAAAUACCUUAUACUGUGAAACUGCGUAUGGCUCAUUAAAUCAGUUAUAGUUUAUUUGAUGAUACCUCACUACAUGGAUAACCGUAGUAAUUCUAGAGCUAAUACAUGCGUCAACACCCGACUUCUGGAAGGGUGGUAUUUAUUAGAUAAAAAACCAACCCGGGCAACCGGUUUUUUGGUGAUUCAUAAUAACUUGUUCGGAGCUCAUGGCCUUGUGCCGGAGCCAGGUCAUUCAAAUUUCUGCCCUAUCAGCUUUCGAUGGUAGUGUAGUGGACUACCAUGGCUUUAACGGGUGACGGAGAAUUAGGGUUCGAUUCCGGAGAGGGAGCCUGAGAAACGGCUACCACAUCCAAGGAAGGCAGCAGG